CUUACCACUGAGCCAUUAGUAGGGUUGCCCGGGAACUACCCAGAGAGCCUGUUCUACCUGCCCUGAUCUCAACCCAGCCAUCCUUGAAUGAACUCCAGAGACAGCUGUAUUUUCAUAGGAAAACCUACCCUUUUGAUUUUAGUGCAAGAGAAGCUGUAAGUCCAAACUCCUAGACUUACAUAAAACACAAUGGAGAUUAAAUAAGGGUGACAGUGAAUUCCCUUCCUGUCCAAGAAUUAAAUCCUCUUAGAGGUGAGACUCGCAUCACCACAGAGCCUGGGGAAAGGACAUGACUGAUUGAGUUCAUAUUGUAAUACCUGGUACCUCUCCUGCCUUGGGGAAGGAAACAUAAAAGAAAGAUGCCUAUACCAUGAAAUACUCAAAUAUGUUCUUCAGAAUUCAAGGACUUAAAUUAUUCAUUGACUGGGGCAUUUCUUUUUUAUUUUAUUUUUUUGAAGGAGAAUAAAAGAGGUAAAAAAUACUCUAAUCUUUCUGU
RNAcentral lists this long non-coding RNA (496 nucleotides) under Bos taurus (domestic cattle). Its description in RNAcentral is "long non-coding RNA NONBTAT011216". The record is from RNAcentral. Lineage: Eukaryota; Metazoa; Chordata; Mammalia; Artiodactyla; Bovidae.